Molecule: ribosomal RNA, 1477 nt
Filed under: Lacticaseibacillus rhamnosus
Lineage: Bacteria; Bacillati; Bacillota; Bacilli; Lactobacillales; Lactobacillaceae
Description: bacterial SSU rRNA
Rfam family: Bacterial small subunit ribosomal RNA
Source: RNAcentral
UUUAAUUUUGAACGAGUGGCGGACGGGUGAGUAACACGUGGGUAACCUGCCCUUAAGUGGGGGAUAACAUUUGGAAACAGAUGCUAAUACCGCAUAAAUCCAAGAACCGCAUGGUUCUUGGCUGAAAGAUGGCGUAAGCUAUCGCUUUUGGAUGGACCCGCGGCGUAUUAGCUAGUUGGUGAGGUAACGGCUCACCAAGGCAAUGAUACGUAGCCGAACUGAGAGGUUGAUCGGCCACAUUGGGACUGAGACACGGCCCAAACUCCUACGGGAGGCAGCAGUAGGGAAUCUUCCACAAUGGACGCAAGUCUGAUGGAGCAACGCCGCGUGAGUGAAGAAGGCUUUCGGGUCGUAAAACUCUGUUGUUGGAGAAGAAUGGUCGGCAGAGUAACUGUUGUCGGCGUGACGGUAUCCAACCAGAAAGCCACGGCUAACUACGUGCCAGCAGCCGCGGUAAUACGUAGGUGGCAAGCGUUAUCCGGAUUUAUUGGGCGUAAAGCGAGCGCAGGCGGUUUUUUAAGUCUGAUGUGAAAGCCCUCGGCUUAACCGAGGAAGUGCAUCGGAAACUGGRAAACUUGAGUGCAGAAGAGGACAGUGGAACUCCAUGUGUAGCGGUGAAAUGCGUAGAUAUAUGGAAGAACACCAGUGGCGAAGGCGGCUGUCUGGUCUGUAACUGACGCUGAGGCUCGAAAGCAUGGGUAGCGAACAGGAUUAGAUACCCUGGUAGUCCAUGCCGUAAACGAUGAAUGCUAGGUGUUGGAGGGUUUCCGCCCUUCAGUGCCGCAGCUAACGCAUUAAGCAUUCCGCCUGGGGAGUACGACCGCAAGGUUGAAACUCAAAGGAAUUGACGGGGGCCCGCACAAGCGGUGGAGCAUGUGGUUUAAUUCGAAGCAACGCGAAGAACCUUACCAGGUCUUGACAUCUUUUGAUCACCUGAGAGAUCRGGUUUCCCCUUCGGGGGCAAAAUGACAGGUGGUGCAUGGUUGUCGUCAGCUCGUGUCGUGAGAUGUUGGGUUAAGUCCCGCAACGAGCGCAACCCUUAUGACUAGUUGCCAGCAUUUAGUUGGGCACUCUAGUAAGACUGCCGGUGACAAACCGGAGGAAGGUGGGGAUGACGUCAAAUCAUCAUGCCCCUUAUGACCUGGGCUACACACGUGCUACAAUGGAUGGUACAACGAGUUGCGAGACCGCGAGGUCAAGCUAAUCUCUUAAAGCCAUUCUCAGUUCGGACUGUAGGCUGCAACUCGCCUACACGAAGUCGGAAUCGCUAGUAAUCGCGGAUCAGCACGCCGCGGUGAAUACGUUCCCGGGCCUUGUACACACCGCCCGUCACACCAUGAGAGUUUGUAACACCCGAAGCCGGUGGCGUAACCCUUUUAGGGAGCGAGCCGUCUAAGGUGGGACAAAUGAUUAGGGUGAAGUCGUAACAAGGUAGCCGUAGGAGAACCUGCGGCUGGAUCACCUCCUUUCUAAGGAA